Long non-coding RNA from Astatotilapia calliptera (eastern happy), 1005 nucleotides. NCBI's taxonomy places the organism in Eukaryota, Metazoa, Chordata, Actinopteri, Cichliformes, Cichlidae. The record is from Ensembl.
AUGCUGCUCUUUCCAUCCCCAUUAUCUCCUCUGUCUCAUCCCCGCGACCUUUGGUUUCCUUGAAAGGCUUUUGCAUUCUUUUAAAAUGAAAAUACCAAACGGUGCUCUUUCUGCGCAGACGCGCGGGAUGGUGCUGCAGAUUAGGUUUGAUGUUUUAUCGUCAUGGCGGCUCGCUCUUCAGGAAAAAAGAAAAAUCAUUUAACAGCAGUGCCAACUGCAGAGAGCAGAGCAUUGGGGAGUGUUUUGGUCACGUUUAACAUCGGGGAAGAUCAAACACAAACGGAGGCCUGCUAGACUGCAGCGGCCUUGCGUGGGAAUCCCACCAUGAUGAAGUCUGUGGCAGAACCACGGCCCCAAACGUCCCCAUCAGCAUCAUGUUACUGGGAGGCUUCAGAUGUCUUCAUUCAGAGGGAAGCCUCGAGUACGUCUUUCCUCAGAGUCUUAGCUUUUUUUUCUUUUUUUCUUUUUUGUCCUUUUGGAUGGCAGCGCACAUUCCCUGGCACGAUUUUCAAUAGCGCUCCCCCUGGGGUAGCAGGGGAAUGGCUAUCUCUACAAUUACACUGACAGCUCUUUUCUAAAGUGCACUUGAUUUAUUUGAUUUAGCUAAGAUUAAUGGUCCUCCCACCAAGCAGGCCUGGCUGAGAUGCGCAGCACAACACAGACUUCACCGCUGCAGAUGCACAGGUGUAUGCCAGCACUGGUGUACUGGAGAUCUGUAUAUAUUUAUACACAUAUGCACGAAAAGUCACAAAUCCAUGACCACUCUGAUCCAAUCUGGGUUUUUUUGACCUACGUCGCAUUUGAAAAUGAUUACAGUAGACAUCCACUAAAGAGUCCAGAACUGCCAAAAUAAAUCUAAUUAUUUAAAGAAUUGUUAUUUUAACUCAUAUAUAAUCAUAUUUACCUUUCUAGUUUUAAAAAUAUUGCAAAAACAAUAACAAAGCAAUUAAUGUUGGAUGCUUUUAUGUAUUCAAAAGCAUAUCACUGCAACAUAUAAAUAUGUAA